This 330-nucleotide ribosomal RNA is filed under the name Triticum aestivum (bread wheat). Its description in RNAcentral is "partial small subunit ribosomal RNA". Lineage: Eukaryota; Viridiplantae; Streptophyta; Magnoliopsida; Poales; Poaceae. The record is from RNAcentral.
AUGAGUAGCACAGUCGGCCCGAUCAUGAGUUGGAACGUCAGGGGCCUGAACAACCCAGCUCGGCGAUCCGUAGUGCAGGUCACGGCAAACACACACCGCCUCGCCGUUCUCUGCAACCAGGAAACCAAGCUUGAAGAGUGGACACCAGUAAUCGUCAGGGAAGUAGGAGGCCCAAGACUAGACGACCGCAUUGUUCUGCCUGCUAAUGGCACAAGAGGAGGCGCCGCCAUCUUCUGGGACUCAACAUCAGUUAGAAUUCAAUCCCACGCGACCGGGGAGUUCUCCAUCACGGCCAAGGUCACUGUACUCUCCUCAGGAGCUAGCUUUUAG